This 370-nucleotide ribosomal RNA is filed under the name uncultured organism. RNAcentral describes it as "bacterial SSU rRNA". It matches the Rfam family "Bacterial small subunit ribosomal RNA", at positions 526 to 896 of the family's 1533-position model. The record is from RNAcentral.
CGAAGGGGGCUAGCGUUGCUCGGAAUUACUGGGCGUAAAGGGCGCGUAGGCGGAUAGUUUAGUCAGAGGUAAAAGCCCAGGGCUCGACCUUGGAACUGCCUUUGAUACUGGCUAUCUUGAGUUCGGGAGAGGUGAGUGGAAUGCCGAGUGUAGAGGUGAAAUUCGUAGAUAUUCGGCGGAACACCAGUGGCGAAGGCGACUCACUGGCCCGAUACUGACGCUGAGGCGCGAAAGCGUGGGGAGCAAACAGGAUUAGAUACCCUGGUAGUCCACGCUGUAAACGAUGAGUGCUAGUUGUCGGCAUGCAUGCAUGUCGGUGACGCAGCUAACGCAUUAAGCACUCCGCCUGGGGAGUGCGGUCGCAAGAUUA